AUUGAACGCUGGCGGCGUGCCUAACACAUGCAAGUCGAGCGGUAACAGGUGUAGCAAUACAUGCUGACGAGCGGCGAACGGGUGAGUAAUGCUUCGGAAUCUACCUUAUGGUGGGGGAUAACUAGCCGAAAGGUUAGCUAAUACCGCAUACGUCCUAAGGGAGAAAGCAGGGGAUCGCAAGACCUUGCGCCAAAAGAUGAGCCGAAGUCGGAUUAGAGAGUUGGUAGGGUAACGGCCUACAAAGGCGACGAGCCGUAGCGGGUCUGGGAGGACGACCAGCCACACUGGGACUGAGACAUGGCCCAGACUCCUACGGGAGGCAGCAGUGGGGAAUAUUGGACAAUGGGGGAAACCCUGAUCCAGCGACGCCGCGUGUGUGAAGAAGGCCUGCGGGUUGUAAAGCACUUUUAGUGGGGAUGAAAUGUGCAGGGUUAAUACCUCUGCAUUUUGACCUAACCCACAGAAAAAGCACCGGCUAACUCUGUGCCAGCCGCCGCGGUAA
RNAcentral lists this ribosomal RNA (502 nucleotides) under uncultured bacterium. RNAcentral's name for it is "partial 16S ribosomal RNA". It matches the Rfam family "Bacterial small subunit ribosomal RNA", at positions 30 to 523 of the family's 1533-position model. The record is from RNAcentral.